Molecule: ribosomal RNA, 2071 nt
Filed under: human gut metagenome
Description: bacterial LSU rRNA
Rfam family: Bacterial large subunit ribosomal RNA
Source: RNAcentral
UUAAAGUAGUAAGGGCGCAGGGUGGAUGCCUUGGCACUAAGAGCCGAUGAAAGACGUGAUAAGCUGCGAAAAGCUUCGGGGAGGAGCACAUAUCCAUUGAUCCGGAGAUAUCUGAAUGGGGAAACCCGGCAGAGGAAACCUCUGUCAGCAUGUAGUGAAUUCAUAGCUGCAUGUGGGGAACCCGGGGAACUGAAACAUCUAAGUACCCGGAGGAAGAGAAAGAAAAUUUAUCGAUUUCCAAAGUAGCGGCGAGCGAAAUGGAAAGAGCCCAAACCGUGAUGCGUGCAUCGCGGGGUUCGGACUGCGUUGUGGCAGACGUAAGAUAGGAGAACGGACUGGGAAGUCCGGCCGGAGAGAGUGAAAGCCUCGUAUCCGAAAUCCCAAGUCGCCUAGCAGGAUCCAGAGUAGGACGAGACACGAGAAACCUUGUCUGAACGAGCGGGGACCACCCCGUAAGGCUAAAUACUUCUUAGUGACCGAUAGCGCAUAGUACUGUGAAGGAAAGGUGAAAAGGACCCCGGGAGGGGAGUGAAAGAGAACCUGAAACCCUGUGUCUACAAGCUGUGGGACCUCUUUAUAUGAGGGACUGCGUACUUUUUGUAGAACGGUCCGGCGAGUUGUGCGUACUGGCGAGGUUAAGGACUUAAGGUCUGGAGCCGAAGUGAAAGCAAGCGUUAAUAGCGCGUCAAGUCAGUGAGUGCAGACCCGAAACCGGGUGACCUAUCCAUGUCCAGGUUGAAGCUUCCGUAAGAGGAAGUGGAGGACCGAACCCACAUCCGUUGAAAAGGGUGGGGAUGAGGUGUGGAUAGCGGAGAAAUUCCAAUCGAACCCGGAGAUAGCUGGUUCUCCUCGAAAUAGCUUUAGGGCUAGCCUCAUGAGAGUCUUAUGGAGGUAGAGCACUGAAUUGCCUAGGGGGCGUCAAAGCUUACCAAAGCAUAUCAAACUCCGAAUGCCAUCAAGAUGAUUCAUGGGAGUCAGACCAUACGAGAUAAGUUGGAUGGUCAAAAGGGAAAGAGCCCAGACCUACAGCUAAGGUCCCAAAGUGCGUGUUAAGUGGAAAAGGAUGUGGGGAUUCUAAGACAACUAGGACGUUGGCUUAGAAGCAGCCAUUCAUUGAAAGAGUGCGUAAUAGCUCACUAGUCGAGAGUCCCUGCGCCGAAAAUGUCCGGGGCUGAAACACGACACCGAAGCUUAGGAAUGUGUAAACAUUGGUAGAGGAGCAUUGUUAGCGGGAUGAAGCCAUACCGUAAGGAGUGGUGGACUGCUAGGAAGAGAGAAUGCCGGAAUGAGUAGCGAGAUGAAGGUGAGAAUCCUUCAGGCCGAAUAUCUAAGGUUUCCAGAGUAAAGCUGAUCUGCUCUGGGUAAGUCGGGACCUAAGGCGAGGUCGAAAGACGUAGUCGAUGGAUAACAGGUUGAAAUUCCUGUACCGCAUAUAAACAGAACUGUGGGGACACAGACAGGGAAUGGAAUCCGGGAAUGGAGAUCCCGGUGCAAGCGAGGUAGGAGUGCUGUUGGCAAAUCCGCAGCACGAUCUGAAGACGUGACGCGUACCGAACAUAAGUAGGGAAGUCCAGGCCCCUGGCUGUCAAGAAAAGCCGCUAUCGUUUUAUAUGUGCCCGUACCGCAAACCGACACAGGUGGAUGAGGAGAGAAUCCUAAGGCCGACGGGAGAAGUAUUGUUAAGGAACUCGGCAAAAUGACUCCGUAACUUCGGGAGAAGGAGUGCCAUGUAAAAGUGGCCGCAGAGAAUUGGCCCAAGCAACUGUUUAGCAAAAACACAGGUCUAUGCAAAACCGUAAGGUGAAGUAUAUGGGCUGACGCCUGCCCGGUGCUGGAAGGUUAAGGGGAGAGGUUAGCGCAAGCGAAGCUUUGAACUUAAGCCCCAGUAAACGGCGGCCGUAACUAUAACGGUCCUAAGGUAGCGAAAUUCCUUGUCGGGUAAGUUCCGACCCGCACGAAAGGCGUAAUGAUUUGAGCGCUGUCUCGACAAUGCAUCCGGUGAAAUUGAAGUACCAGUGAAGAUGCUGGUUACCUGCGCCAGGACGGAAAGACCCCAUGGAGCUUUACUCCA